ACUAUAAACUCAUUGACGGAGACGGUAAAAUUUUUAUUAUAACCAAGCUAGUAAAUAAGGUAAAAAUUUAAGGGUCGGGAUGUGACAUUAUUUCUUUUUCUUUGUCGUUGUAUACGUUUCCAUUCUCUUCUGCCGAAGCAGGUAAGCCAAGUGCCAAGUUUUCUCUCUUUAAUCUGCAGGUAUGAUUCUUAAUUAUAUCGGUCAUCCUCUUAAAGGGUCUUGUACGUGUCAUAUGACCUAGUUCUCAAAUCUCAAUUGAUUAAUAAUGUCUUGAUCAAAUUUAGUUCCAAUAUCCCAUCAUCUCAAAUCUCAAUUGAUUAAUGCCUUGAUAGUCUCAAUAUCUCAUCAUCCCAUCACACUGUAUUUCUAUUGAUAUUCUAAUUCUAAUCUCAAUAUAUUACUUGCUUACUAAUUCUAAGCCAAGUGUCAAGUUUUCUCUCUUUAAUCUGUAGGUAUGAUUCUUAGUUAUAUCGGUCAUCCUCUUGAAGUCUUGUACGUGUCAUAUGACCUUGUUCUCAAAUCUCAAUUGAUUAAUGCUUUGAUCAAAUUUAGUCGCAAUAUCUCAUCAUCUCAAAUUUCAAUUGAUUAAUGUCUUGAUAGUCUCAAUAUCUCAUCAUCCCAUCGCACUGUAUUUCUAUUAAUAUUCUAAUUCUAUUAUCAAUUGCUUACUUACUAAUUCUAAACCAAGUGUCAAACUUUAUCUAUUUAAUCUGCAUGUAUGAUUAUUAGUUAUAUUGGUCAUUCUCUUGGAGUCUUGUACGUGUCAUAUGACCUAGUUCUCAAAUCUCAAUUGAUUAAUGUUUUGAUCCAAUUUAGUCCCAAUAUCUCAUCAUCUCAAAUCUCAUGUGUAUCAGCAAGAGGGGCUAAUCCGAACGUGGUUUGUCUCCAUUCAAUUGAGAGGGAAGCCCCCGGGACGCUACGGUGCCUUAGCUGGUUCCCGAUCCUCCUUCAAAAGUGGGAAAGAGAGGCGGAAGGCGCCCCUUCCAAACAAUGAAAAAAAUCCGAGGAACUUCGAAGCUUAUAGGGCCUCCUCUUGUAAGCUAGCUCCAUUCGAUCGAUCGCUUCCGUUCAUAAUAGAUUGGUUGUGAAUUAAUUGAUUAAUGCCUUGAUAGUCUCAAUAUCCCAUCAUCCUAUCACACUGUAUUUCUAUUGAUAUUCUAAUUAUAAUCUCAAUUGCUUGCUUAUUUUAUUGUAGAUAACUAAUGCUUUUGAUGUGUAUAUAUAUAGAUAUAUAGUUGUAAUAGUACCAACAUUUGAUUCAUAGUUAUUAGAUUGUGUUUUUCCGUCCUGUUAGGUUUAAGGAUUAUACACUCGUUUACUGUAUUGUUAGAGCGGUGAUUGUGUGCUUAGUUAUUAGAUUUUGCUUCUAUUCAAGAGCGUAUGGUUCAAUUUGAGUAUGUUUGUUCUUUUAUCUUUAGCUUUUGUUAUCGAAUUUCUAUAAAAUGUUAAAAUAUUAAUUUCUUAAUGAUCAGUUAACUACGUGAUUAUUUGAUAUGUUUUUAAUCUAAAAUGUGAUAUGUAAAAUAUAGAAGAAAAAAAAAUAAAACAAUUUUAAGAAAAAAAUUUCAGUCCACCCCAACCUAAAAUCCUAGGUCCAACAUUGUGUGUGUGUGUAUAUAUUUAUAUAUACAGUCCGUUUCAGAUACGAACGUCCACACCGUAAACGGUGCGGACGUCCGCACCUGAUAACUGUUGUGUAUAUAUAUAUAUAUAUAUAUCAUGAAAUUAGAUUAAUUUAUAAUUAAUUUGAUCAAGAGAUUAACGUAAUCUUGUAAGGCUAUAACAUAUUCGAUCCUAUAAUGCAGUUCAUUGCAUUUAUAACUAGUACUGUCUAUGCAGCUUGUAAUCACAAGGAAGUAAAAGCUAGCGUCAGAGAUAGAUAGCGAAUUAGGGCUCUCUUGCAUACCCAAGAUGAAUUACCUACCCUACCUGGUCAUUGUUUGCCCAUAAUGCAACUCGAUCGAACACGGAACCAAAUUUGCCAACCAUCAAAUUUGGUGGUCANNNNN
This 2009-nucleotide long non-coding RNA is filed under the name Fragaria vesca (wild strawberry). Its description in RNAcentral is "long non-coding RNA (FVES_LNC000480)". Lineage: Eukaryota; Viridiplantae; Streptophyta; Magnoliopsida; Rosales; Rosaceae. The record is from RNAcentral.